Brassica napus (rape) is the source of this 2367-nucleotide long non-coding RNA. RefSeq lists it as uncharacterized. Lineage: Eukaryota; Viridiplantae; Streptophyta; Magnoliopsida; Brassicales; Brassicaceae. The record is from RefSeq and is a predicted model, not a curated record. The transcript has 2 exons.
UGUAUGUCUAUCUUGUUUCCUCACAGCUCCCUUGCAAAUUUGCAAUAGAUUUGCAAAGAACUUGCAUGGUAUGUACAUUUUAUCAUUUUUCUCCCAAAAUCAAAUAAAGUUAAUAAAAAAUUAUUAAUUAAAAUAUUUAGUGUUUAACAAGUACAUCGAUGAAUAUUUUUGGAAAUUUAAUCAAUAUCAGUCAACUAAAUAUUUACGGGAUAAAUAUUUUCUGACACUUAAAACUAAUAUUACAAAGUACUAAACAUCAAAACUCUAUAAUUUAUACAAUAAAUACACGUCAAAGAAGUUUCCAAAAAAAAAUUGAAACAAAAUUUCACGUCAAUUGUUUUUUCGAACAACAAAUACAAAAUACAUAUUAGUCCAGAAAAAAUAUACCAAUACCCCAAACGAAACCCUAAACUCAUUGACUUAUGAAUUUGCAAGGAAUUUGCGAGGGAUCCCUCGUAAUUUCAUUGCAAAUCUCAAAUUUGCGAUGAAUUUGCAAGGGAAUCCUCGCAAUUCCCUUGCAAAUUCAUUUUUUCCCCAAUUACUCAAAAUUUAAAUAAAAUCUAAUUUUUAUAAUAUAUAUAUAUAUAUAUAUAUAUAUAUAAAAUAUCUCAAACUAUAUACCAAAUUUAAAAUUUUACAUUAUACAUUUCAAAAAUAAAUAAAAAACACUAAACAACACAAAAACAAAAUCACUAAUCUUAACUCAAACACUAUAUCUUAAACCCUAAAAUCUAUGUAUAAACUCUAUACCCCAAAUCACUAAUCUAGACACUAAAUCAUUUAUAAUGUUUAAAAUGUACAUCGAAAAAUAUUUUCCGAAAUUUGAUUAACUAUUGUUAUGAACUUAAGUCUCAAGCCUUGAUUUCUUAAAACCCUUUAUCAUAAAUACAAAUUACAUAUACACUAAACUUAAAUUAAAUCUAAAUUUCAUACCCUCAAACCUUAUACUCCAUAUACACUAAACUUAAAAUUAAUCUUACACACAAAAUUUACAACUCUAAUAUUUUCAGACUCCAAUAUCUAAUCCUAAAUUUAACUAAAAAUGAAAAUGAAAUAAAUUUCGAAAUUAAAAUUUAAACUUUAAACACUAUACUCAAAAUCUUUAACUUGUACAUAAAACUCUAAAAUAUCACUCUUACUUCUAAUUUUAACAAUAAACCCUAUAUCAUAAACACCAAACCUUUCAUUUAAAAAAGCGUAAUAUCAAAUUUAAAUUAUAUCCAUAAAAUCAAAACAUAAAAUGAACUAUACACGUCCAUACGUUGAAAAAAAGAAAAGAAAAAUAAAUAUCUUUGCUAGUAUUUUAUUGGCUGAAAAGAAAGGUGUAUGGAUUGAAAAUCUGAACCCUUGAUAACAAGAAAUCAAUGGUCAAGAUUGCUUAGACUUGUGUUUCUUCUUUCUGUCGACACAUUUCAACUUCUCCAUUAUUCUUCUUUUCGAAAAUCUCAUCUCCUUCUCCUCUCUCUCUGUCAAAUCUCCUCUCUUCUUCCUCCUAACCGACUAAACUCACUCUUCUCUAUUUAAUUUUUAUCAACUAUUCUUCUUUCUUCAUCUUGUCUGUUCCUCUUUUCUUCUUCUAAUCAUCCUAAGUUCACGAAGCAUCGUCAUUGAAGCGUCGUCGUGUUCUCACCGGAGAAGGUACAAAGCUCCUCCUCUAUCAGCAAGAAACGAGUUCUACAGCCUUAACUUUCAAGGAUCUAGUAGAUGAGGACUGGAUCUGGCGGAGAGAGUGUGACAACAGAGAAGAAGAAAAGCUGGAGACAUAUAAAGGCGGCACGCUCGCCAUCCCACCACCAACACCAUGGGUUGGAGGAAGCAAGGCGAGGUGGAGCAGCGGCAGUGGCAAGGCGGAAGACAGAUGAGCUUGCAUGUAGCAGCGCCAGUGGCAUGGCUGACGGAGGAGGCAGAGCGGAGGGGCAGAGCAGAGGAGGCAGACGCGGUGGUGCAGGCCGGUGGUGGCGGCUAGGGUUAAUUUUUUUUAGAUCUAGGUUUUGUUGUGUUAACCGGUUAACCACUAACCAUUUACGAUUUGGGACAAAAAUUAAUACUAAUAAGUAUAACAUUUUUAAUGAGUUAAUAAUAAUAUUAUUUUAAUUUAAUUUUUUUUAAUUUUUUUUUUCAUACGUAGUCGCAAAAUCAGUCACUAAUCUGGAAGGUGGAUGCGAUGGCCGGAAGUAGAAGCAUCGGUGGUGGCUGAAGCGUUGAGAGUGCGGUGGACAAAGACGACUGGAGGAGAACGACAGCGGCGGCUUAGAUUUAGGUUUCUUGUAUUUUGUUUGUAUUUAUGUUUAUAUAUUUACAUAUUUGUUUUUAUUAAUUAUAUCAAAUUGUUUUUUUUAACCAUCGGAAUAGAUACAUUUUCCUUUA